Molecule: ribosomal RNA, 1554 nt
Filed under: activated sludge metagenome
Description: bacterial LSU rRNA
Rfam family: Bacterial large subunit ribosomal RNA
Source: RNAcentral
UUAUAGAGGUAGAGCUACUGAUUGGAUGCGGGGGAAGCGAUUCCUACCAAGUCCUGACAAACUCCGAAUGCUAUAAAAUAUACACUGCAGUGAGCCAUUGGGUGCUAAGGUCCAAUGACGAAAGAGAGAGAACUCAGACCAACAGCUAAGGUCCCCAAAUCUAUUCUAAGUUGAUAUAACGUGGUGCGACUGCAUUGACAGCCAGGAUGUUUGCUUGGAAGCAGCCAUUCAUUUAAAGAGUGCGUAACAGCUCACUGGUCGAGCGGUCGUGCGUGGACGAUACUCGGGCAUCAAGAAUAGUACCGAAGCUUUGGACUUAAAUUUAUUUAAGUGGUAGGGGAGCAUUCUAACUGCGUAGAAGAAGUUGCGUGAGCGCUAUUGGAGCGGUUAGAAAAGCAAAUGUAGGCAUAAGUAACGAUAAAACAGGCGAGAAACCUAUUCGCCGAUAGACUAAGGUUUCCUGAACAACGAUAAUCGGUUCAGGGUCAGUCGGGACCUAAGGUGAAGCCGAAGGGCGUAAUCGAUGGACAACUGGUUAAUAUUCCAGUACUUGUAUCACUGCGAUGGAGAGACGCAGGCGCGUAAGGUCAGCGAACUGACGGAAUAGUUCGUUUAAGUGCGUAGGUUUAGGUUCUGUAGGCAAAUCCGCAGAGCUUCUGAAACAUGAAAGUAGCCAGAGUCGUCAGACAAAGGCAUUGACCCCAAGCAUACUGCCAAGAAAAUCUUCUAAGCUUCAGGUGAAUACAACCCGUACCGCAAACCGACACAGGUAGUCAAGUAGAAUAUACUAAGGCGCUCGAGUGAUCCGCGGCUAAGGAACUAGGCAAAUUAACCCUGUAACUUCGGGAAAAAGGGUGCCACCAGCAAUGGUGGCCGCAGAGAAAUGGCGGUGGCGACUGUUUAACAAAAACACAGGGCUUUGCAAAACUGAAAGGUGAAGUAUAAGGCCUGACACCUGCCCGGUGCCGGAAGGUUAAGAGGAGAGGUUAGCGUAAGCGAAGCUUUGAAUUGAAGCCCCGGUAAACGGCGGCCGUAACUAUAACGGUCCUAAGGUAGCGAAAUUCCUUGUCGGGUAAGUUCCGACCUGCACGAAUGGUGUAACGAUCUCCGCACUGUCUCAGCCGCGAGCUCGGUGAAAUUGUGGUAUCAGUGAAGACGCUGAUUACCCGCAACGGGACGGAAAGACCCCAUGCACCUUUACUAUAGUUUAACAUUGAUUUCGGGUAAGUGAUGUGUAGGAUAGGUGGGAGACUGUGAAGCGGACACGCUAGUGUUUGUGGAGUCAACGUUGAAAUACCACCCUUUACUUACUUGGAGUCUAACUCCCAAUGGGAGGACAUUGUUUGAUGGGUAGUUUGACUGGGGUGGUCGCCUCCGAAAGGGUAUCGGAGGCUUUCAAAGGUUCCCUCAGUACGCUUGGUAACCGUACGUAGAGCGCAAUAGCAUAAGGGAGCUUGACUGUGAGACCGACAAGUCGAGCAGGUACGAAAGUAGGAUAUAGUGAUCCGGUGGUUCCGCAUGGAAGGGCCAUCGCUCAUAGGAUAAAAGGUACGC